RNAcentral lists this ribosomal RNA (497 nucleotides) under uncultured bacterium. Its description in RNAcentral is "partial 16S ribosomal RNA". It matches the Rfam family "Bacterial small subunit ribosomal RNA", at positions 28 to 507 of the family's 1533-position model. The record is from RNAcentral.
GAUGAACGCUGGCGGCGUGCCUAAUACAUGCAAGUCGAGCGAACAGAUGAGGAGCUUGCUCCUCUGACGUUAGCGGCGGACGGGUGAGUAACACGUGUAUAACCUACCUAUAAGACUGGGAUAACUUCGGGAAACCGGAGCUAAUACCGGAUAAUAUAUUGAACCGCAUGGUUCAAUAGUGAAAGACGGUUUUGCUGUCACUAAUAGAUGGAUCCGCGCCGCAUUAUCUAGUUGGUAAGGUAACGGCUUACCAAGGCAACGAUGCGUAGCCGACCUGAGAGGGUGAUCGGCCACACUGGAACUGAGACACGGUCCAGACUCCUACGGGAGGCAGCAGUAGGGAAUCUUCCGCAAUGGGCGAAAGCCUGACGGAGCAACGCCGCGUGAGUGAUGAAGGUCUUCGGAUCGUAAAACUCUGUUAUUAGGGAAGAACAAAUGUGUAAGUAACUAUGCACGUCUUGACGGUACCUAAUCAGAAAGCCACGGCUAACUACGUG